UGAAUCCGCGCGGGAGAGUUCCGGGUCCACACCCGGGCGCCGAAGGAGCAAGUUCCUCCCUUGAAUCUCUCAGGCCCCGUACCGCGUGGAUGAG
Molecule: non-coding RNA, 94 nt
Filed under: Streptomyces sp.
Lineage: Bacteria; Bacillati; Actinomycetota; Actinomycetes; Kitasatosporales; Streptomycetaceae
Also listed under: 1 other name
Description: Glycine sequence
Rfam family: Glycine riboswitch aptamer
About the family: This family represents the bacterial glycine riboswitch. Glycine riboswitches usually consist of two metabolite-binding aptamers domains with similar structures in tandem.
Source: RNAcentral